Molecule: ribosomal RNA, 449 nt
Filed under: uncultured bacterium
Lineage: Bacteria
Description: bacterial SSU rRNA
Rfam family: Bacterial small subunit ribosomal RNA
Source: RNAcentral
CAGGGAAUCUUGCACAAUGGGCGAAAGCCUGAUGCAGCGACGCCGCGUGGGGGAUGAAGGCCCUAGGGUCGUAAACCCCUUUCAGCAGGGACGAAAAAUGACGGUACCUGCAGAAGAAGCCCCGGCCAACUACGUGCCAGCAGCCGCGGUAAGACGUAGGGGGCGAGCGUUGUCCGGAUUUAUUGGGCGUAAAGAGCUCGUAGGCGGUUGCGUAAGUCGGAUGUGAAAACUCAGGGCUCAACCCUGAGACGCCAUCCGAUACUGCGCUGACUUGAAUCCAGUAGGGGAGUGCGGAAUUCCUGGUGUAGCGGUGAAAUGCGCAGAUAUCAGGAGGAACACCCAUGGCGAAGGCAGCACUCUGGGCUGGUAUUGACGCUGAGGAGCGAAAGCAUGGGUAGCGAACAGGAUUAGAUACCCCAGUAGUCCCUGAGCGGGCUGGCAAGGCGCAU